Molecule: ribosomal RNA, 440 nt
Filed under: uncultured bacterium
Lineage: Bacteria
Description: partial 16S ribosomal RNA
Rfam family: Bacterial small subunit ribosomal RNA
Source: RNAcentral
CCUACGGGGGGCAGCAGUGGGGAAUAUUGCACAAUGGGGGAAACCCUGAUGCAGCGACGCCGCGUGAGUGAAGAAGUAAUUCGUUAUGUAAAGCUCUAUCAGCAGGGACGAAAAUGACGGUACCUGAGUAAGAAGCCCCGGCUAACUACGUUCCAGCAGCCGCGGUAAUACGUAGGGGGCAAGCGUUAUCCGGAUUUACUGGGUGUAAAGGGUGCGUACACGGCAGUGCAAGUCUGGAGUGAAAGGCUGGGGCUCAACCCCCGGACUGCUCUGGAAACUGUACGGCUGGAGUGCAGGAGAGGUAAGUGGAAUUCCUAGUGUAGCGGUGAAAUGCGUAGAUAUUAGGAGGAACACCAGUGGCGAAGGCGGCUUACUGGACUGUAACUGACGUUGAGGCUCGAAAGCGUGGGGAGCAAACAGGAUUAGAUACCCCGGUAGUC